UACGGAGGGUGCAAACGUUGCUCGGAAUCAUUGGGCGUAAAGCGCGUGUAGGCGGCUUGGUAAGUCCGCUCUGAAAGCCCGGGGCUCAACCCCGGGAGGCGGGUGGAUACUGUCAAGCUCGAGUCCGGAAGAGGCGAGUGGAAUUCCUGGUGUAGCGGUGAAAUGCGCAGAUAUCAGGAGGAACACCGGUGGCGAAGGCGGGUCUCUGGGCCGAUACUGACGCUGAGGAGCGAAAGCCAGGGGAGCGAACGGG
Molecule: ribosomal RNA, 253 nt
Filed under: uncultured bacterium
Lineage: Bacteria
Description: partial 16S ribosomal RNA
Rfam family: Bacterial small subunit ribosomal RNA
Source: RNAcentral